Molecule: ribosomal RNA, 389 nt
Filed under: Cercosaura oshaughnessyi
Lineage: Eukaryota; Metazoa; Chordata; Lepidosauria; Squamata; Gymnophthalmidae
Description: partial 12S ribosomal RNA
Rfam family: Bacterial small subunit ribosomal RNA
Source: RNAcentral
CCCCACUAUGCUCAAGCACCACCUAGAUUUAUCCGCCAGAAAAUUACGAGCGAAAGCCUAAAACUCAAAAGACUUGACGGUGUCCCACCUUCCUAGAGGAGCCUGUUCCAUAAUCGACAACCCACGAUUUACCCAACCAUUUUUAGACCCUUCAGCCUAUAUACCGCCGUCGCACAGCUCACCUUUUAAAAGAAUACAAGUAAGCUUAAUAGUAUUAUACUAAUAAGUCAGGUCAAGGUGUAGCUUAUAAAAUGGAGGAAAUGGGCUACAUUAUUUAUAUUAAAACACACGAAUUUAUAUUCCCUGAAAAAGAAAAUGAAGGCGGAUUUAGCAGUAAUUUGAAUAAGAAAAUUUAAAUUAACAUUAGCUUCUGGGACAUGUACACACCG